GACGAACGCUGGCGGCGUGCUUAACACAUGCAAGUCGAACGGAAAGGCCUCUUUCGGGGGGUACUCGAGUGGCGAACGGGUGAGUAACACGUGAGUAGCCUGCCCUUGACUUUGGGAUAACUUCAGGAAACUGGGGCUAAUACCGGAUAGGAGCUCCUGCUGCAUGGUGGGGGUUGGAAAGGUUCGGCGGUUGGGGAUGGACUCGCGGCUUAUCAGCUUGUUGGUGGGGUAGUGGCUUACCAAGGCGUUGACGGGUAGCCGGCCUGAGAGUGUGACCGGCCACAUUGGGACUGAGAUACGGCCCAGACUCCUACGGGAGGCAGCAGUGCGGAAUAUUGCACAAUGGGUGGAAGCCUGAUGCAGCAACGCCGCGUGCGGGAUGACGGCCUUCGGGUUGUAAACCGCUUUCGCUCAUGACGAAGCUUUGUGUGACGGUAGUGGGUAAAGAAGCACCGGCUAACUACGUG
This 467-nucleotide ribosomal RNA is filed under the name uncultured bacterium. Its description in RNAcentral is "partial 16S ribosomal RNA". It matches the Rfam family "Bacterial small subunit ribosomal RNA", at positions 28 to 507 of the family's 1533-position model. The record is from RNAcentral.